AUGCUUUGGGAGAACAUAUACUAAAAUUGGAAUGAUACAGAGAACAUUAGAAUGGCCCCUAUGCAAGGAUGGCACAAAAUUUCAUGAAGUAUUUCAUAUUUUU
Suncus etruscus (white-toothed pygmy shrew) is the source of this 103-nucleotide small nuclear RNA. Lineage: Eukaryota; Metazoa; Chordata; Mammalia; Eulipotyphla; Soricidae. The record is from RefSeq and is a predicted model, not a curated record.